CCUACGGGGGGCAGCAGUGGGGAAUAUUGGACAAUGGGGGCAACCCUGAUCCAGCCAUGCCGCGUGUGUGAAGAAGGCCCUCGGGUUGUAAAGCACUUUCAGUGAGGAAGAACGCCUGGUGGUUAAUACCCAUCAGGAAAGACAUCACUCACAGAAGAAGCACCGGCUAACUCCGUGCCAGCAGCCGCGGUAAUACGGAGGGUGCGAGCGUUAAUCGGAAUUACUGGGCGUAAAGCGCGCGUAGGUGGCUUGAUAAGCCGGUUGUGAAAGCCCCGGGCUCAACCUGGGAACGGCAUCCGGAACUGUCAAGCUAGAGUGCAGGAGAGGAAGGUAGAAUUCCCGGUGUAGCGGUGAAAUGCGUAGAGAUCGGGAGGAAUACCAGUGGCGAAGGCGGCCUUUUGGACUGACACUGACACUGAGGUGCGAAAGCGUGGGUAGCAAACAGGAUUAGAUACCCUGGUAGUC
Molecule: ribosomal RNA, 465 nt
Filed under: Vreelandella stevensii
Lineage: Bacteria; Pseudomonadati; Pseudomonadota; Gammaproteobacteria; Oceanospirillales; Halomonadaceae
Description: partial 16S ribosomal RNA
Rfam family: Bacterial small subunit ribosomal RNA
Source: RNAcentral